AUUGAACGCUGGCGGCAGGCCUAACACAUGCAAGUCGAGCGGAAGAAGGGAGCUUGCUCCUGGAUUCAGCGGCGGACGGGUGGGUAAUGCCUAGGAAUCUGCCUGGUAGUGGGGGAUAACGUCCGGAAACGGGCGCUAAUACCGCAUACGUCCUGAGGGAGAAAGGGGGGGAGCUUCGGACCUCACGCUAUCAGAUGAGCCUAGGUCGGAUUAGCUAGUUGGUGGGGUAAAGGCCUACCAAGGCGACGAUCCGUAACUGGUCUGAGAGGAUGAUCAGUCACACUGGAACUGAGACACGGUCCAGACUCCUACGGGAGGCAGCAGUGGGGAAUAUUGGACAAUGGGCGAAAGCCUGAUCCAGCCAUGCCGCGUGUGUGAAGAAGGUCUUCGGAUUGUAAAGCACUUUAAGUUGGGAGGAAGGGCAGUAAGUUAAUACCUUGCUGUUUUGACGUUACCAACAGAAUAAGCACCGGCUAACUUCGUG
Molecule: ribosomal RNA, 484 nt
Filed under: uncultured bacterium
Lineage: Bacteria
Description: partial 16S ribosomal RNA
Rfam family: Bacterial small subunit ribosomal RNA
Source: RNAcentral